AAACGAAAUCCGAAGAUGGACAGUUCAUCUUUGCCAUAAUUUUUCUCUCCAUUUUUGUUCAAUCGAACCCUCAAUCUUCUCUGGUCAGAACUCUGCACCAGAUUUGCCGUUCAGUCCGGCUCCAGGUUCAACCUUGUGAAACCAAAAGAUUGAAUCAAUAAACGCCUCUCUUAUCUCAAAUCGAGCCCCAAACUGACAUUGAAGGUCUCUUCUUCGAUAGUCUGCAAAGCUGUGUUUGUGAAGCCCCAAACUGACAUUGAAGGCCUCAACAUUGCCGAUGAUGUCUCUCAGGGCUGUUGCUGUUGCAACUGGGCCAUCUUCACCUAUCUCAGAUGGUGGGCCCCCUUCAUAUGAAAAUCAAGAGAGGACUGAAGUAGAUACUUUUGAUGGAAGUGCCAGUCUUAUUCAGCACAAUGGUAGGCUGAGGC
Non-coding RNA from Camellia sinensis, 428 nucleotides. NCBI's taxonomy places the organism in Eukaryota, Viridiplantae, Streptophyta, Magnoliopsida, Ericales, Theaceae. The record is from RefSeq and is a predicted model, not a curated record.